CCUACGGGGCGCAGCAGUGAGGAAUAUUGGUCAAUGGACGAGAGUCUGAACCAGCCACGUAGCGUGAAGGAUGACUGCCCUAUGGGUUGUAACCUUCUUUUAUAACGGCAUAUAACGAGGCAAGUUUGCAUUAUUGCUAGUACUUUAUGAAUCAGGAACGGCUAAAUACGUGCCAGCAACCGCGGUAAUACGGAGGAACCGAGCGUUAUCCGGAUUUUUUGUGUUUAAAGGUAGCGUAGAUGGGUUGUUAUGUCAGUUGGGAAAGUGUGCGGCUCAACAGUAAAAUUGCAAUUGAUACUGGUAGUCUUGAGUACGGUUGAGGUAGGCGGAAUGCGUGGUGUAGCGGUGAAAUGCUUAGAUAUCACGAAGAACCCCGAUUGCGAAGGCAGCUUACUAAACUGUUACUGACAUUGAGGCUCGAAAGUGUGGGUAUCAAACGGGAUUAGAUACCCUUGUAGUC
This 460-nucleotide ribosomal RNA is filed under the name uncultured bacterium. Its description in RNAcentral is "partial 16S ribosomal RNA". It matches the Rfam family "Bacterial small subunit ribosomal RNA", at positions 338 to 795 of the family's 1533-position model. The record is from RNAcentral.